CAGUAGCCACGGUAAUACGGAGGGAGCUAGCGUUGUUCGGAAUUACUGGGCGUAAAGCGCACGUAGGCGGUUAUUCAAGUCAGAGGUGAAAGCCCGGGGCUCAACCCCGGAACUGCCUCUGAAACUAGAUGACUGGAAUCUUGGAGAGGUCAGUGGAAUUCCGAGUGUAGAGGUGAAAUUCGUAGAUAUUCGGAAGAACACCAGUGGCGAAGGCGACUGACUGGACAAGUAUUGACGCUGAGGUGCGAAAGCGUGGGGAGCAAACAGGAUUAGAUACCCCAGUAGUCCCUGUCUCUUAUAC
RNAcentral lists this ribosomal RNA (301 nucleotides) under uncultured bacterium. RNAcentral describes it as "partial 16S ribosomal RNA". It matches the Rfam family "Bacterial small subunit ribosomal RNA", at positions 509 to 807 of the family's 1533-position model. The record is from RNAcentral.